GACGAACGCUGGCGGCGUGCCUAACACAUGCAAGUCGAACGGAAAGGCCCUGCUUUUGUGGGGUGCUCGAGUGGCGAACGGGUGAGUAACACGUGAGUAACCUGCCCUUGACUUUGGGAUAACUUCAGGAAACUGGGGCUAAUACCGGAUAGGAGCUCCUGCUGCAUGGUGGGGGUUGGAAAGUUUCGGCGGUUGGGGAUGGACUCGCGGCUUAUCAGCUUGUUGGUGGGGUAGUGGCUUACCAAGGCUUUGACGGGUAGCCGGCCUGGGAGGGUGACCGGCCACAUUGGGACUGGGAUACGGCCCAGACUCGUACGGGAGGCAGCAGUGGGGAAUAUUGCACAAUAGGCGGAAGCCUGAUGCAGCAACGCCGCGUGCGGGAUGACGGCCUUCGGGUUGUAAACCGCUUUCGCCUGUGACGAGGCGUGAGUGACGGUAAUGGGUAAAGAAGCACCGGCUAACUACGUG
RNAcentral lists this ribosomal RNA (468 nucleotides) under uncultured bacterium. RNAcentral describes it as "partial 16S ribosomal RNA". It matches the Rfam family "Bacterial small subunit ribosomal RNA", at positions 28 to 507 of the family's 1533-position model. The record is from RNAcentral.